CCUACGGGGGGCAGCAGUGGGGAAUAUUGCACAAUGGGCGCAAGCCUGAUGCAGCCAUGCCGCGUGUGUGAAGAAGGCCUUCGGGUUGUAAAGCACUUUCAGCGGGGAGGAAGGCGGUGAGGUUAAUAACCUUAUCGAUUGACGUUACCCGCAGAAGAAGCACCGGCUAACUCCGUGCCAGCAGCCGCGGUAAUACGGAGGGUGCAAGCGUUAAUCGGAAUUACUGGGCGUAAAGCGCACGCAGGCGGUCUGUCAAGUCGGAUGUGAAAUCCCCGGGCUCAACCUGGGAACUGCAUUCGAAACUGGCAGGCUAGAGUCUUGUAGAGGGGGGUAGAAUUCCAGGUGUAGCGGUGAAAUGCGUAGAGAUCUGGAGGAAUACCGGUGGCGAAGGCGGCCCCCUGGACAAAGACUGACGCUCAGGUGCGAAAGCGUGGGGAGCAAACAGGAUUAGAUACCCCGGUAGUC
Molecule: ribosomal RNA, 465 nt
Filed under: uncultured Klebsiella sp.
Lineage: Bacteria; Pseudomonadati; Pseudomonadota; Gammaproteobacteria; Enterobacterales; Enterobacteriaceae
Description: bacterial SSU rRNA
Rfam family: Bacterial small subunit ribosomal RNA
Source: RNAcentral